Molecule: non-coding RNA, 166 nt
Organism: Pelobates cultripes (western spadefoot toad)
Lineage: Eukaryota; Metazoa; Chordata; Amphibia; Anura; Pelobatidae
Source: the annotation of a GenBank genome assembly
GCGCGCAAGGGAGCACUGUCCCCUGAGUGCUCCCUCUUCAGCUCCCUCGCGCACCGCAUUGACACCGGAGCCGGAAUAUGACGUCAUCUUCCGGCUCCAGCAUCAGUACACGGUGCGCGAGGGAGCUGAAGAGGGAGCACUCAGGGGACACUGCUCCCUCGUGCGC